CUACGGGACGCUGCAGUGAGGAAUAUUGCACAAUGGGGGGAACCCUGAUGCAGCAACGCCGCGUGGAGGAUGACGCAUUUCGGUGUGUAAACUCCUUUUAUAUGUCAAGAAAAUGACGGUAGCAUAUGAAUAAGUACCGGCUAACUCCGUGCCAGCAGCCGCGGUAAUACGGAGGGUGCAAGCGUUACUCGGAAUCACUGGGCGUAAAGGACGCGUAGGCGGGUUGGGAAGUCAGGUGUGAAAUCCUACAGCUUAACUGUAGAACUGCACUUGAAACUUCUAAUCUAGAGUAUGGGAGGGGGAGAUGGAAUUAGUGGUGUAGGGGUAAAAUCCGUAGAUAUCACUAGGAAUACCUAAAGCGAAGGCGAUCUCCUGGAACAUUACUGACGCUAAGGCGUGAAAGCGUGGGGAGCAAACAGGAUUAGAUACCCUCGUAGUC
This 439-nucleotide ribosomal RNA is filed under the name uncultured bacterium. RNAcentral's name for it is "partial 16S ribosomal RNA". It matches the Rfam family "Bacterial small subunit ribosomal RNA", at positions 339 to 795 of the family's 1533-position model. The record is from RNAcentral.